This is a non-coding RNA of Dichotomocladium elegans, 74 nucleotides long. The record is from the annotation of a GenBank genome assembly. NCBI's taxonomy places the organism in Eukaryota, Fungi, Mucoromycota, Mucoromycetes, Mucorales, Lichtheimiaceae.
GCCCUUGUGGCGUAAUUGGAUAGCGCAUCGGACUUCUAAUCCGAAGGCUCUGGGUUCGACCCCCAGCAGGGGCU